ACCGGCGAGUACAGAGGCUUUGGGGACUUGUCCCCCUUUCCCUCGGCGCCGCCCCCGAAAUGAAUUGGCGGUCUCGUCGCGGCCUCCUCUGCGUAGUAGCACAACCUCGCAUCAGGAGCGCGGCGCGGCCACUGCCGUAAAACGCCCAACUUUUUUUUAAGAGUUGACCUCGAAUCAGGUAGGAA
This 185-nucleotide unclassified non-coding RNA is filed under the name Pochonia chlamydosporia. Its description in RNAcentral is "ITS2". Lineage: Eukaryota; Fungi; Ascomycota; Sordariomycetes; Hypocreales; Clavicipitaceae. The record is from RNAcentral.